This 325-nucleotide ribosomal RNA is filed under the name Methanolinea sp. Its description in RNAcentral is "bacterial SSU rRNA". It matches the Rfam family "Archaeal small subunit ribosomal RNA", at positions 1 to 329 of the family's 1478-position model. The record is from RNAcentral. Lineage: Archaea; Methanobacteriati; Methanobacteriota; Methanomicrobia; Methanomicrobiales; Methanoregulaceae.
AUUCUGGUUGAUCCUGCCAGAGGCCACUGCUAUCGGGGUUCGAUUAAGCCAUGCGAGUCGAGAGGUGCAAGACCUCGGCGCACUGCUCAGUAACACGUGGAUAACCUACCCUCAGGUGGGGGAUAACCCCGGGAAACUGGGGAUAAUACCCCAUAGACCAGGGACGCUGGAAUGCCCCCUGAUCGAAAGGUCCGCCGCCUGAGGAUGGGUCUGCGGCCGAUUAGGUUGUUGUUGGGGUAACGGCCCAACAAGCCUUUGAUCGGUACGGGUUGUGAGAGCAAGAGCCCGGAGAUGGAUUCUGAGACACAAAUCCAGGCCCUACGGG